This 544-nucleotide unclassified non-coding RNA is filed under the name Hevea brasiliensis (rubber tree). The record is from RNAcentral. Lineage: Eukaryota; Viridiplantae; Streptophyta; Magnoliopsida; Malpighiales; Euphorbiaceae.
UUAUGCCUUGGGAAGAGAGCUUUCCUUAAAUACUGUGGAGUCUCGAGAUACCGCAAGAUCCUUAUGAGAAAAGGCGCACCACUUUCAUUCUCACCAGAGUUAUUGACAGUGUUCACAGUGGGAUCCUCAAUCACUAAACUACUCUUAUUGUCAAACACCACAACCUCAUCGAUUCGAAAUAUGGUCGCGGCACGAGCAAUCUGACCAGCCAAUCGAGUAGCGAGUUCAAGAGAUUGAGCGUUGUCGAUAAUGGAACCGGGGACGGCUAUGCUUACUGUACGUUUCCCAUUCGCUUCGUUCUCUUCUUUCUCAGUCUCAUUUAUUUCCUUCUUCUUCUUUUUCUUCUUCAUCUUCCUAUGAGAAUCGCCAUUAAUGAACUCAUCGACCUCGAGGACUUUUCUCUCUGCUUCUGCUUCUGCAUCAGCAUCAGCAUCUGUUUCUGCUCUUUUCUUCUUCUUCCCCAUUCCCUUUUCUGCUGGGGUUUGUAAACGCACGUUUGACGGUUUUCCUGAGACUGUUUAUUAGGAGGCCGCUUCAAAUCGCG